GCAGUAUUAUACACUGAAUCAUUAGUAUUAUUAUGUUCUGAUUACAGUAAUAGUGACUAUUCUAGUAAUCGUUCUAAAAUCUUCCUAUUUUUGACUUACUUUUUCAUUUUUCAUGUGUCUUCGCUUGGAAUGAUUAAAAAAUAUUAUUAAAAGAUACGGGUAAUAAUCCUUAAAAUAAAACUCAUUAUGCAUCUGAGUGUGUCUUCACUAAGCAAAACAAAAUAAAAUGGCGUGUGGUUUUGCAAAAGGAUCCGAAAACUUCCUUUCCUUCAAAAUUAUAAGCUUAAAUAUCUGAACACCGCCAAUGGCCUGCAAUCUUAAGGCAGAUGGCCCGGAAGCUUCAAAAGCAGUGAGGCGAAAAUUUGCGGUUACGUAGCAAAUUCCGAUUGAAGCAAACAUCGGAAUCCAGCUAGCAAACAGCAUUUCAGAUCCUGUACUGGAAAUACGGCACCGAUGCUUGCUGCGUUUGCCUGCCGGAACCCCAACCCAAAAAUUAGCAACUGUCGGCUGCUGCUGGUUUCUCGAGGGCACUUGGCAGACAUCUUCAGGUGAGACAUGGUGGCUCGAUUGGCUUGUCCUCCACCGUGAUGCAUCUGAGAAUUUGCUUCGAAUAUCCCCAAGCUUGGUGCACGCUGUCCGCCGCAGUCCUUAACGUUACAAAUCCGUCAUCAAGGAUGAGCAGGGAAUUGUGAUGAACGCCACAACAGUGGCUGACUGUUCUGUAGCAGUAUAACCAUCAUGGGUGUUCCCGAAGGAAAACUAAAGCCAGUAAAAAAGCAGCUCCCGGCACACUCGACUAGCUCUAGGUGUUGCAGCUGCAACCGACCAGGAUGUAGUCGGAGAAAAUCGAACUGGAAGCACAAGCAUCAGUUUGAGAAUGGGCCUUUUGUCUUUGCUGGCUGAUGUCCUCGCAGAUUGCACUGGAAAAUCUGCUUACAACAGUGACAACGAUGAUUCAUCCUCCAGGUAAUCGGAUCGGCACGAUGAAUUCAGAACCGUACUCCCACGACUUAAACCUCGUUGCAUAGAGCCGGCAAUAACGACACCUCCAGAUCCGAUUCUGGUGGUCUGAUGAUUGUUCUCGAGUACCAAGAUUUUCUGGGUAUCACCAUAUAUUGGUUAAAUAUUCUGAAAACGAAAACUGGUUCUGCAUAAAUAUUGCGAAAUAUUCCAGCUUCAAUCAACUACAGUUCCAUUUUUGUUAGGCCACUAUUUACCAGAAACGUCCCUCAUAGCCGGACCAUUCGGAUUUCGUUAAAUUGCACUCUACCAUGCUGUUUUUUUCUUCGAACAUCUCAUCGAAACUAAACGGGUUGAAAUUAGCACCGAUUGAACAAAAGGGCCGCAUUGUUAUGAAAGAUUUACUACAAGCGAUCCGGAAAUUCAUUUAGUUCCUGAUUGACUGACCCACACUAACGAACCCUCUGAUAUGCGACCAAGGACAGGAUCAAUGUAUACAUUAGGGAAAUGUUGAAAGUGAAGUGAGUAAAACUAUUUCGAAUAUUGUGUCGAUAUCAAUAUAUGAAUGUAUAUUUAAAAUAAUUAUCAAUCAACUCAUUUUUGAACAUAAUAAAAUCUAUGGAAAACUA
Long non-coding RNA from Uranotaenia lowii, 1589 nucleotides. RefSeq lists it as uncharacterized. The transcript has 7 exons. The record is from RefSeq and is a predicted model, not a curated record. Lineage: Eukaryota; Metazoa; Arthropoda; Insecta; Diptera; Culicidae.